AGAGAUGCUCUCCUUCCUCGUCUUCUUUCCUCUCAGCGGCCGGCCCUUCUGUGACAGAGAGAUGAACAUCUCUUUGCCGUUUUUAGUCCAUUUGACGGACGAGUACGCCGUGUAGUAGUUCUCUAAAAACACUUCUUUGAAGUUGCAGCUGUCGUUGUAGUCUUUCUGUCCGGGAAAGAAGAACAGAUGGUAAGGAUGAAUGGCUUCAUACUUUGCCCUGUAACAUUCCGGUGCGGUUCAUGGAAAUAUAAUACUGGCUCUUCAGUCCUUUUAUAGCCAACACGCCGCCCUCCGAAACCGUCCUGAUCUCCAGAACACCUGAAACACAGACAGAGACCGGCCCGCACACAUGAAGACACGCAGACGUAAACACCACAGACACAUCUGCUCAAAUCUGCCAGUUCAUACAUGACUUAAAUCAGGGUUACUGUAUGUAAAUAAAGCUAAUAUCAUACAUGCAAUUUAAAUAAAUCUUAACUAACUAACUUAAACACUUUAUUUGAGAUGGAGGUUAUUGACCUUUAAUUGAAAGGUGAUGUGUGUCAUUUUGGGUGUUAAAUUUCUUCUGCUGUAUUUCAGCUGAUUUAGCAAGAAUUUAUUCUUGCUAUUCUGUUUAAUAGCACAGAAAAACACACCUCAGCUUUCAGAAUCCAUUCCUUUGAAGCCAAAUACCAGCAGCAGAUGGAUCGAUCUCGAUCUACAGCGUGCUAAAGCUCCAGUUGCACAGAUAUUUGACAGCUGAAGCAUCUGUUUGUUGUGUUUGGAUGAGGAGAGGACGCAGCUCUUGUUGUUUUGAGCUCUCUCUCUCUCUGUGUGUGUGUGUGUGUGUGUGUCACGUGUGCUGUAAUAAGCUGCUGUCACGGCACAGCUCUGUCAGAACCUCAGUACUCGUCUGCUUCUCUCUCCCGCGGCACUGGCCGACCCUCUCUGACCCUCACUGCAUGUCUUGCAUGCGCUCUGUGCGUGCAGUUGUCGGCCACAUCUGGCUGUAUCAAUUUUUCUUCUUUUCAGCGCCAGCUGACGCAAUAAUUUUCCCUCCAGAGCAGAGAUGCAUGCCGUCACGCCAACACGACCACUUUCUUCUCAUACACAACUGAAAUGACUAAUAACCAAACAUGCCAGAGGCUGAUGUUAUGUAUAUACAUGAUCAUUAAAGUGUAUAAUCAAUUAUUAAAAUAUUUAUUUUCUCAGCUAAAUAAUUCAUUAUGCAUCCAUGCACAAAACAUCAGCUUCCAAUCUCAUUAUUUUAUUGUUGUUUUGACGCUCUCUACACAAACUAGAUUGCAGUCACUGAAUUGUACAUCCAUUCUGACCACAUCUGAUAACUUCUGACCACUAAGUCCUUCAACGAAGGGAAACAAGAGUUAUAAAUACUCCCCUCCCAGCAAGCACCUGUUUGUCUUUACGCCUGUCACUUCUCGUCACACUGCCACGUGACCUGCUCACAAUCCCACUGGAACCCUGACCAGCCCAUUCCUUUCACAUACAGUGGGAAACUCUUUCUAGUCCCUGCUAUAAUUUAAGAGGCUUUCACCAAUCAUGUGCUUUUUUCAUCACCCUGUGAUAGAUCCUGUGUGAAGCUCCUGACACACAACAGAAACCUGAAGACCUCAGACAGACGUGUGAUGACGCUCUUACUGUAGCAGUUGUUGGGAUCCUGCGUCCCGUUGAUGUUCCCGAACUCGUCGAUCAUCAGAAACCACUGCGUGCGACUGUAGAGGCGUCGGAUCCGGACGUCCCCUCCUUCCAUGUAGUCGUAGUUCCUGGUGUGGCGCUCGUGUUUGAAGCAGUCGGUCACAGCAGCCUGGUCUCCAUCGCACACACAAACACGGCUGACCAGCAGCACUAGCCACAGUUUACACGCAAACUCAGGCAGUUUCCAUCGCAGCGUCCAUUUGCGCAUUAUACUGCGUUUCUCAAGGAGUUCAUGAUCCACAUACUGAAGGUAGAACUCAGGUUGGAUCUUAAAGCUGUGAGAGAUCCACUCAAGUACAAUCCUCAGAUGCUGGCGUGACCUCUGACCUCCAGCAGAAUCUCCUCAGAGCUGGAGGAGGCAGCAGUGUGUUCGCUUCUGCUGUUAAGGACACAAAUGAACAAAUAGAUGCUUCACAUGCUGUCCAUUCCUGAUGAGGUUACAGGAGGCAGGAUGUGCGCUUCAGUCCAGACGGUUCCACUGUGAUACACGGAGAGAGGGAGUUUCGGGGCCGCCCGUCUGCGCUGUGCAUCUUCUCGUGUUGCUGAGCUCUGUGCGAUCUCUGAUAAAAGCCUCCUGCUGACCUCACUUCUCUG
This is a long non-coding RNA of Carassius gibelio (silver crucian carp), 2289 nucleotides long. RefSeq lists it as uncharacterized. The record is from RefSeq and is a predicted model, not a curated record. The transcript has 3 exons. NCBI's taxonomy places the organism in Eukaryota, Metazoa, Chordata, Actinopteri, Cypriniformes, Cyprinidae.